CCGGCAGGACGACCUGCCGGCCAUGGGCUUAAGGCCGGGGACGACCCCU
Molecule: non-coding RNA, 49 nt
Filed under: Pelagibacterium sp.
Lineage: Bacteria; Pseudomonadati; Pseudomonadota; Alphaproteobacteria; Hyphomicrobiales; Devosiaceae
Description: Guanidine-II sequence
Rfam family: Guanidine-II riboswitch aptamer (mini-ykkC)
About the family: Simpler in structure and has fewer highly conserved nucleotide positions than the ykkC-yxkD leader.
Source: RNAcentral